RNAcentral lists this ribosomal RNA (468 nucleotides) under uncultured bacterium. RNAcentral's name for it is "partial 16S ribosomal RNA". It matches the Rfam family "Bacterial small subunit ribosomal RNA", at positions 28 to 507 of the family's 1533-position model. The record is from RNAcentral.
GACGAACGCUGGCGGCGUGCUUAACACAUGCAAGUCGAACGGAAAGGCCCUGCUUUUGUGGGGUGCUCGAUUGGCGAACGGGUGAGUAACACGUGAGUAACCUGCCCUUGACUUUGGGAUAACUUCAGGAAACUGGGGCUAAUACCGGAUAGGAGCUCCUGCUGCAUGGUGGGGGUUGGAAAGUUUCGGCGGUUGGGGAUGGACUCGCGGCUUAUCAGCUUGUUGGUGGGGUAGUGGCUUACCAAGGCUUUGACGGGUAGCCGGCCUGAGAGGGUGACCGGCCACAUUGGGACUGAGAUACGGCCCAGACUCCUACGGGAGGCAGCAGUGGGGAAUAUUGCACAAUGGGCGGAAGCCUGAUGCAGCAACGCCGCGUGCGGGAUGACGGCCUUCGGGUUGUAAACCGCUUUCGCCUGUGACGAAGCGUGAGUGACGGUAAUGGGUAAAAAAGCACCGGCUAACUACGUG